RNAcentral lists this ribosomal RNA (253 nucleotides) under uncultured bacterium. Its description in RNAcentral is "partial 16S ribosomal RNA". It matches the Rfam family "Bacterial small subunit ribosomal RNA", at positions 524 to 776 of the family's 1533-position model. The record is from RNAcentral.
UACAGAGGUGGCAAGCGUUGUUCGGAAUUACUGGGCGUAAAGCGCACGUAGGCGGCGCAGCAAGUCAGGGGUGAAAUCCCGGGGCUCAACCCCGGAACUGCCCUUGAAACUGCAGUGCUAGAAUCUUGGAGAGGCGAGUGGAAUUCCGAGUGUAGAGGUGAAAUUCGUAGAUAUUCGGAAGAACACCAGUGGCGAAGGCGACUCGCUGGACAAGUAUUGACGCUGAGGUGCGAAAGCGUGGGGAGCAAACAGG